UGGGGAAUUUUGGACAAUGGGCGAAAGCCUGAUCCAGCAAUGCCGCGUGUGUGAAGAAGGCCUUCGGGUUGUAAAGCACUUUUGUCCGGAAAGAAAUCCUCUGGGUUAAUACCUCGGGGGGAUGACGGUACCGGAAGAAUAAGCACCGGCUAACUACGUGCCAGCAGCCGCGGUAAUACGUAGGGUGCAAGCGUUAAUCGGAAUUACUGGGCGUAAAGCGUGCGCAGGCGGUUUUGUAAGACGGAUGUGAAAUCCCCGGGCUUAACCUGGGAACUGCAUUCGUGACUGCAAGGCUAGAGUAUGGCAGAGGGGGGUAGAAUUCCACGUGUGAGCAGUGAAAUGCGUAGAGAUGUGGAGGAAUACCGAUGGCGAAGGCAGCCCCCUGGGCC
Molecule: ribosomal RNA, 389 nt
Filed under: uncultured bacterium
Lineage: Bacteria
Description: partial 16S ribosomal RNA
Rfam family: Bacterial small subunit ribosomal RNA
Source: RNAcentral